GGGUUGUCGUGCCAAUGGCACUGCCCGGUAGCUAAAUGCGGAAGAGAUAAGUGCUGAAAGCAUCUAAGCACGAAACUUGCCCCGAGAUGAGUUCUCCCUGAGACUAUAAGUCUCCUGAAGGAACGUUGAAGACGACGACGUUGAUAGGCCGGGUGUGUAAGCGCAGCGAUGCGUUGAGCUAACCGGUACUAAUGAACCGUGAGGCUUAACCUUACAACGCCGAAG
This 225-nucleotide ribosomal RNA is filed under the name Klebsiella pneumoniae. Its description in RNAcentral is "partial 23S ribosomal RNA". It matches the Rfam family "Bacterial large subunit ribosomal RNA", at positions 2718 to 2925 of the family's 2925-position model. The record is from RNAcentral. Lineage: Bacteria; Pseudomonadati; Pseudomonadota; Gammaproteobacteria; Enterobacterales; Enterobacteriaceae.